This 85-nucleotide transfer RNA is filed under the name Felis catus (domestic cat). It matches the Rfam family "tRNA". From Rfam's summary of the family: Transfer RNA (tRNA) molecules are approximately 80 nucleotides in length. Lineage: Eukaryota; Metazoa; Chordata; Mammalia; Carnivora; Felidae. RNAcentral also lists the same sequence under 4 other names. The record is from Rfam by way of RNAcentral.
GCCUGGGUGGCUCAGUCAGUUAAGCAUCUGACUUAGGCUCAGGUCAUGAUCUCUUGGUUCACGGGUCCGAGCCCCGUGUCAGGUU